UGCCCUGUGUACUUCAUUCUUUUUCUUUCUAGGCAAAGGGGAGUGACUCACCUUUGUCUUAUUGUCUUAUGAGCAGUUUAUUAACCAUUUAUAUAUUUCAUCUAUGAGGAACUUAAUACAAAUCAAUAUGUUGCUCCGCUAAUCAAAUUAUACAUAUUACUCCAUCAAAUGCAUGUAAUCAUUAGUCAAUAAAUUUGUACAAUUUUGGGUAAUGAAACAAUAAGCUUACAUUAGAGAUUUAAUAUGAGUAAUACUAAGCUCUGAGUGCACCUUGAUUGGCCGUAAAUAUGUUUUGCGUCCGCGACCAUCUGAUUUGGAGUAAUAAUAAAGAGCAAGUGUUGGUAUUUAACAUAAGUAAUAUUGAGCCUUCAGUGUACCUUGACUGACCAUAAAUGCACUUUACUUCCGUAACCAUCUGAGUUUAAGUAAUAAUAAAGAACAAGUGUUGGUAUCUAGUAGGUAUCAGCUCCGUAGAGAUACAUUGCACUUUUACAUGCCUCAAAAGAGCUGGACAAAUUGCAAACUACAUGCUGAUUUAGAAGAUUUUACAACUAAUUUAUCAAAAAUGCUCUUAAGAUGUCCGUGUACACAAUUGCUUCCACCGCUGGAUUUGAUGAUUCAUUUAUUGUUCAAAAAAUAAUUGGAACACGAAACCCUGAUAAUUAAAAGGUACAUAACAUAAGUGGAAGAAAUUGUUUGUGAGCACUAAUAUUGAGUAAUGAAGCAAUAAAUUGAUUAUCGAAAUUUGAAUAAUAAUAAAGAAUAAGUAUUGAUAUUUAAUGGGUGAGAUUUUCCAUCCCGGUUCCGAAGAGAUAUAUUGCACUUCUAUAUACCUUAUAAGAGCUAGACAAAUUGCAAACAACAUGCCAAUUAGGAGAUUUGCUAUUCAGUUCGCCAAAAUGCUCUUAAGAUGUCCAUGUACACAAUUACUUUCACUUCAUAAAUUGAAGCAAAAGACUUAUCCAUAGAAGAAUAUACUACCGAAUUUGAGCAACUCAUGAUGAAAUGCAGUAUUGUUGAAGCAAAAGACUUAUCCAUAGGUAUACUACCGAAUUUGAGCCACUCAUGAUGAAAUGCAGUAUUGUUGAACCGAAAGAAUAAAUUAUAGCCCGCUACGGGGAAGGUUUCAAAUCAGAAACAAACGGUUCAAUUGUUGUUGAAAAACUGCUAGAGCGGGGAAAUCCCGACAGUUAGAAGUGUGUACACCCACACCCACACCCACACACACACAUAGAGACACACACACAUGUAUAUAUAUAACAGCUACCAGAGCAAAUUCGCAAACAUAAUAACUAAAGCCACAGUUUUUGGCUUACCUUAAAUGAGCAAAUAAACGGCGCACUCCCUACAGUAAUCAGCAUGAUUUUUGCUAUUUAAAUUUAUCUCACAAACAUCAUCACUGUGAUUCACUGGAUCACAUAGAGUGAGAGGAUGUUGGUGAGAAAAAAUUUGUUUUGAGUGAACCGGGUGUUGAAUUUGACCUUGCUCUUCUUGUGGAGGAAUAAAGCAAGAGAAAUAUUGGCUGAAACUGAAAUAUUGAAUCUGAUCCAUAUGAUCAGAUAUAGCAGGUAAGGAUUUGUGAGUUGAACUUGAAUAGUUACAUGGAGCUAUUAACAAAUGGAUGUGUGAUAAGGAAUUUGAGGUGGGGAGAGAGAGUUUACAGAGAAAAUGAAUCCCCUGCCCAAGAAAUCAAUAGCAAGAGGAUGGUGAUGAUCUAGAUGCCGUGGAUCAUAUGUCAAUACUUUAUCUUGUAUUUGAUAUUGAUGGGUUGGAAAAUAAAUUAAUAUAGUGUCGAGAUUGAUUGUCGGCAAGAUUAACGAAAAAUAUUAUAUAUUAGGAUCUGGAGAUUGAU
RNAcentral lists this long non-coding RNA (1852 nucleotides) under Citrus x clementina. RNAcentral's name for it is "Citrus clementina (C. clementina) long non-coding RNA (CCLE_LNC000265)". Lineage: Eukaryota; Viridiplantae; Streptophyta; Magnoliopsida; Sapindales; Rutaceae. The record is from RNAcentral.